Molecule: ribosomal RNA, 449 nt
Filed under: uncultured bacterium
Lineage: Bacteria
Description: bacterial SSU rRNA
Rfam family: Bacterial small subunit ribosomal RNA
Source: RNAcentral
ACUCCUACGGGAGGCAGCAGUAGGGAAUCUUGCGCAAUGGGCGAAAGCCUGACGCAGCGACGCCGCGUGCGGGAUGACGGCCCUAGUGGUUGUAAACCGCUUUCAGCAGGGACGAAAAUGACGGUACCUGCAGAAGAAGUCCCGGCUAACUACGUGCCAGCAGCCGCGGUAAUACGUAGGGACAAGCGUUGUCCGGAUUCAUUGGGCGUAAAGAGCUCGUAGGCGGUUCAGUAAGUUGGGUGUGAAAGCUCCGGGCUCAACCCGGAGAGGCCACUCAAUACUGCUGUGACUAGAGUCCAGUAGAGGAGCGUGGAACUCCUGGUGUAGCGGUGAAAUGCGCAGAUAUCAGGAAGAACACCGGCAGCGAAGGCGGCGCUCUGGGCUGGUACUGACGCUGAGGAGCGAAAGCAUGGGUAGCAAACAGGAUUAGAUACCCUGGUAGGUCAGUC